This 393-nucleotide ribosomal RNA is filed under the name uncultured bacterium. Its description in RNAcentral is "partial 16S ribosomal RNA". It matches the Rfam family "Bacterial small subunit ribosomal RNA", at positions 523 to 918 of the family's 1533-position model. The record is from RNAcentral.
AUACGGAGGAUGCAAGCGUUAUCCGGAUUUAUUGGGUUUAAAGGGUGCGUAGGCGGUUUGCUAAGCGGGAGGUGAAAUGCCGGCGCUCAACGUCGGAAGUGCCUCCCGAACUGGUGGACUGGAAUGACUCUGCCGUGGGAGGAAUGCGUAGUGUAGCGGUGAAAUGCUUAGAGAUUACACAGAACACCGAUUGCGAAGGCAUCUCACGAAGGGUUGAUUGACGCUGAGGCACGAAAGCGUGGGGAUCAAACAGGAUUAGAUACCCUGGUAGUCCACGCAGUAAACGAUGAUGGCUAACCGCUGGUUUAUUCGGAUCAGUGGCCAAGCGAAAGCGAUAAGCCAUCCACCUGGGGAGUACGACCGCAAGGUUGAAACUCAAAUGAAUUGACGGGG